Molecule: long non-coding RNA, 250 nt
Filed under: Setaria italica (foxtail millet)
Lineage: Eukaryota; Viridiplantae; Streptophyta; Magnoliopsida; Poales; Poaceae
Description: long non-coding RNA (SITA_LNC001268)
Source: RNAcentral
AAAACAUGCGGGCUAAGGAUGUGAAGAUACUUGAAGCGCAAGUCAAGGAGGUCGGACGAUUGAAAUUAGCCUGGAUAUUGCAGGAUACUUUUUGUAAUCCAACUCGAGUUACUUUUCAUGUAACAACCGAUUAGAUUAGAUUCAAACCAACUUGUAACCCUAGGUCAUCAACCUAUAUAAGGCGGCCAAGGGCGCCUCCCGAAGGCAUCCGAUCUAUUCUUUGCACCCGCGCAAAGCAAUACAAACCAGC